This 14578-nucleotide long non-coding RNA is filed under the name Nicotiana benthamiana. RNAcentral's name for it is "long non-coding RNA (NBEN_LNC032375)". Lineage: Eukaryota; Viridiplantae; Streptophyta; Magnoliopsida; Solanales; Solanaceae. The record is from RNAcentral.
AGACGAAGAACAACACGAGAUGAUGAAGAAAAAGAGUAAGAGAAGUUGCUUCUUUAGAAAUCUUACUUAGACAGAUACUGAAAAGUGAGAAACUGAUAACAUAAUUCAUUAUUUAUACUGGAAAAAUGGCUUUCACGAAUUCCGAAAGCCACAAUUAACUGCGCAACCAACCAUAAAACGGUUCGAAUGUAUGGAAACGGGUGUCAUAAUGACAAGUAAAUUCAGCAAUCCCGGUACGUGGGGGGAACGCCCAGUGUGCCUUCCUACACCGAGAACUAUUGCAGUGUACGUCCAGUGCACCCAUAACCGCCGAAGCCGCCUGCGGGAAUACAUUGUCUCGAGUUAAAACAUCCUACGACCAUCUUCCUAAAAAUUAUAAAUGAAGGGCUACGACUAUCUUCCUAAACAGUAUAAAUGGGUACGACCAUCCCACCAAAACUACCAAGGGCUAUAACUAUCCCCAAUCCCUAAAUGUAAAAUGAUUACGACCACUCUUCAGGUGCGUUGAUGGUAACAGCCGUCUCAUAAAUAUAAGCGACCACGUACGUCUUCAAGGUAAAAAACGACUGCGACUGUUCUUGUCACACCUCCGUUUUCCGCACCGCAAGGGCGCAAGGGAGUUCUUCCAAUUAAAGGACAAUCGAAAUAGGAUUAUUUAUUAAAGAUUCAGAGUCGCCACUUGGGAAAUAUAUAGUGUCCCAAGUCACCGGUUAAAUCCCAAAUCGAGGAAAAGAAUGACUCUAUUAAACAGUCCGCGCACCAGAAAUCCGGAUAAGGAAUUCUGUUAACCCGGGAGAAGGUGUUAGGCACUCCCGAGUUCCGUGGUUCUAGUACAGUCGCUCAACUGUCAUAUUCAGCUUAAUUAUCUGACUUUUACAAUUAUAUACUUAGUACAAUUCAUGAUUCUUUUAACCGCUUUAUUAUUAUUAUUAUUAUUUACAUAGAAUUGCAACAUUAUGAAAAUAUAUCUCGGACCACGUCACAGCCAGUGUACUCGUGGUCGUUGACACAUUUUGACUCUGUCGAUAUUUAGAUUUAGGUCGCAUAAAUGCGCACCCGAGUGUAGGAAGGCAAGAUUAAUUAAGGUGCGUCCUAAAGAGAGUCUAGCGAGUUGUAAUCUUUUGGGAGGAGGCCAUGGAAUUUGUUAAAUGGCCUAAUCCGAAGUCUAUCCGCUUAUUGAUCCUUUUAAUUGAGCACAUCACAAUUUUAUAAUCUUUUUUGGCGAGGCUCGCCCAUUUCAUUUUUAAAGGAUAUCCUAAAGCGACUAUUACUUUUUAUUUAUUUGAGUCUCCAAAGAAAAACGAAAAUCCUAUAUUAUUUACAAGUUAGUAUUAUUAGCCUAAGUUAUAAGCAUGGUAUUAAUUCCGAAAAAAUGAGUACGGGGAAGGAAGGAAUUGUUAACAGCUUGGCCCAACGUGCAUAGGUCAAAACUGGAGCCCGGGCCAUCUCGUUUUUAUCCUGGAGGCCUAGUUAUAUUAUCUACAUGUGUUUGAUAUUAACAAAUGAAGGCAGGAAUGAAAAGGUUGUCUUAAAUAUACAAGUUUUUGCCAAUUGGCUAUGCUAUUUGCCCAUUGAUCACCUACAAUCUGUUCAUGCUUCUACAUAACAUAGGCAGGAAAUGACGAGAACAUGAACUACUGUAUCACUAUCGUUUUAAAACACUAGCAUACGAGGAAAGAGUUUAACAUUUAUACUAUUACAGAUUAGUAUUCAGCUUUACAUGACAAUUAAUGACAUGAACCUAGUGAACUAACAACUAACAUAUAUAUACAACAUCAUAAGGUAUGAAUACAGCUACAAGACUUCAAGCUUUAAGGCUUCAUUUUUUAUUCAUGCUUCAAACUUUCAGCUACAUUGUGUACCAGUGUAGUUUGUGUACCUGGUAUUUAUGAUUCAAAGGAAGGAAGGAAGGAUCCGUAGUGAACAGGCAGUAACAAACACAUCACAACAACAGGUUCAGCAACAGAGAUUUCCAGCAAUAAUAGCAAUAAACCAGUGGCAAUAGAAGACCCAGGAAGGAUUUGAAAUCAAGCAGGACACUUUAAGAAACCAACAACAAUUCCAGAAAGUCCAAACAGCAACACCAAAUGUAUGACAAUAAUACCAGAAAGACAAUAGAGGUGAACCAGUACUCAAACCCAAAAAAUAUGGUCUGGUAGCAGAUGGAUAAUACGUAACACACUCAAGAACAACCACAAGCAACUUCAAGGAGCUAAAUAGCAAUACCAAAUGAACUCUAGUAAUACUAUAUGCACUCAACACCAAAACAAGAGGACCAUUUACAAGAGAAGCAAUGCUUCUGAUUCUGAAAACUCCAGGAAAAGCAAGUCAGCUUAAGUUUUAAAUAAAGACCAGCCUUAAACUCUCUCCGGAUUCAAAGAAGCCGACAGAAAAAUGCUCUCCGACUGACCCCUUUCUUUCAAAGAAAAUCCCCCCUUUUAUUCCAUUCUCUCCUCUCAAACACAUUUUCCUUUUCCGGAUUUUAAGCCUUAGUGGAUAGGUAAUCAUACCUGAAUUUGUCCAUUUAAAACAAAAGUAGUCUUCCACUAAUAGUUGUCUAUUAACUUUCCAAUCCCACUUAGAAAUGUCCUCUGUUGUUCAUUAGUGCCCUACUUAUUACUUAGUGGCCCACUAAUCCCACUAGUUCAAAUUAAAGUUGUUAAGGACCUACAGGAUAGACCAAACAGCCAAUCUAAAUUUCCUUAUUUUCUAUUUUUAAAACACCCCUGGAUCCUACUGGCUGCCACUGUUCUGAUUUAGAACAUCAGAAGACAAAACUAUACCUCUAAUUUUUGAUAUUAUCUUCUAAUUAACAGCUAUAGCCAAUCUUUAAUAAAGAAAUCACAGAACUGAAUCUAUAAUUAACAUUUAAACAUAAAACCAUCUAGUACUGAACAAAAAUGAAUUGAAACUAAUAAGCUCAGUUUUUCAACUUGGGUACCAACAGGCUCAAUCCAAUAACAACAUUAGAAAAGAAACAGGCUAAGCAAAACUACUGAACUUGAACAAUAAUUGCCUAUUAUCAAGUAAUUUUAUCAUUCAACCAUGAAAGACUAACUGACAAAUUUAUUUAAAUGAUUAUGUAGUUUAUAACAUAGAUGCAAUUAACAACAGACCAACAGAAUUAAAACAAACUAACAAGGUGAUUUCAGUUAACUUUAAUCAACCACAUAAACAACAAACACAGGAUAUGCAAACAUGUCGACUCCUGGCUUUGGGGUAAAACAAUGGACCAAAUAUGAACUAAUUACUGGAUGAUAAACACACAGUUCAUCAAACAAGCAGAAAGAAUCAACCAAAUAAAAGGUCUACUGAAGAUGGACAGAAUUGAAAGAAGAAUGAUAGAAAAAUCAAACACACUAAACUAAUCUGUAAACAAACACAAAAUAAAACACAAAUAAGAACCAGGUUAGCAGAACUAAUGAAUAGAGGCAUAUGCACAAGAGAAAGCAUACUGGCAAUUUAGCACUUGAAGCUACUAUUCAUGUUCUUCUAAAUUCUUUCAGUUUUCAAGUGAAUUCAGUUGACGACCUAUAAUUAAACGAUUAUAUGAAUAAUAUCAUAUGGCAAAACAAUCAAUUAACAGGGUGUAACAGGCAUGUUCUGGAUUUCAAUGGUUUAUCAGGGAACAUAAGAAUGAACUAAAUUAUUCUACGACUAAACACAUAACAAACAAUAACAGCAAAUAACAAAAAAAAUGAAUAGAAGAAAAGGACCAAACUAAAGGGUCUAUGGAGAUGAACAGAAUUGAAAGAAGAAAAUAAUAUAAGAAUCAAACAAAUCAGACCAGUCAUGCAAACAACAAAAAUAUAUGCAAAUAAGGAAAGAAGGAAAAAGAAGUACUUAUCUCUUAAAGCUCAAGAACAAACGACCCCAGGUCUCCAUGGACUCGACCAUUUUAAGUCGAACGGACCUUAAUCGGGGUGUUCUCAGUUGAUAACACCUAGAUUAAGGUCAACUAGACCUCAACCUCCCAUCGAUUUGAACAGAUUCCAUAGCUUUGGAAUUCUAGGGUUCAUGCGUUUGAUUUAGGGUUCGAACGUCUCCGGAUUCGAAGGAUUGGUUUGGAUAUUCGUGUUGGGCGUGGAAAGGGGGUUUAGUAGCAUAAAUAUGGUGACCGGCGGUGUAUUUGCCGCUGGGUUUCUGGUGUAAAGCGUUCAAGGGCUGCUAGGGUUUCAGGGGGUUUGUCUCUGAUGGUUUGAGAGAGAUGAAGAGGAAGAGGGUGGGGUGGCUUAUGGGGGGGUGCGGGGUGAGAGAAUGAGCUUAUAUACAAAGUGGGAGAAAUGAUCUUGGCCAUUAGAUCAUUCAAGAUCAAUGGCUAGGAUCACAAGGAUUAACCAAUACGGCGUCGUUUGGUUUAAGUGAGGGUGUUUGUGGGGAACGGGUAAUGAGUCGGGUUAGGAAAUGGGUAGGAGAGGGUUAAUCUUGAACGUUGGAUUAAAAGAGAUCAAUGGUUUGGAUUAAUUGGCCAUAUACGACGUCGUUUGGAUCAAAUCGGGAGACGGACUGGACCGUAAGAUCGAAUGAGAUCAACGGCCUAGAUCCGAGGUUCAGAAGACGCUGUUUCUCUUGUCUCAGUGAUCAGGUGAAAUGGACUGGGUCAUUACAUAAUUUGGGCCUAAUUUUUGGUUUUCAAAAUUCGGCCCAAUCCGAUUUGGCUCAAAUUUUUGCACUCUUUUUUUUCCUUCUUUAUAAUUAAAUAAAAUUCCUAAUUAAUUUGUAAAAAUAAAAAAAUAACACUACAAAAAUAUUAAUUAAUACUGAACAACAAUAAACACACACAUUUAAUUAAAAUAAAAUCACAUAAUGACAACAAAUAGAAUAAAAAUACAUAUUUUUGUGGUUUUCACUUUUAAAAAUCAAAUUAUGGUUUAAUUAAUUCCUAAAUGCACAAUUAAAUCCUAAACAUGCAUGAAACAUAUAUGUUUUAUAUUUUUUGGUUAACUACAACUAAUUAAAAUUGUACCCGAAGGUAACUUGUUUUUAUUUUGAUUUCUUUUGGAAUAGUUUCCUUGAAGAAAAAAUCACGUGCUCACAGCUACCCCUCUUUAUCCGAAAGCACAAAGAGCUUUGUGUUUUUGUGCAAAGAUAAAGUGAGCGGAUACGAGCGAUUUUUGCCCGUUGGAAUACUCCGUGUGAAGCAUUUUUUGAAACGGAUUUAACCGAACCUUUGCUUCAAAGGUUUCCUACAUAUCCUUAGCUAAAAGGGAAUUAGGUCAACGUAGUUCAAGAAGUUUCAGUAGCUGGGACUACCGUGGAACUGCGGUUUUUCUAUUACUACUGCUGUAUGCUGUUACCACUGCUUUACUGAUGUCCUUCUUACGCCGUUUCAAAAGGGAAAAAGAAAAAGCUAGGUUAGCCUACGGAUCACAAGAUCCUAUCUAUCUUCCAAUUGUUUUUGAUGGCCUUGCAUUCUUGUCAUCUUGGGUUUCUUCCGGUGCUUCUUUCUUCCGAGAGCUUGGGGAUGAUGCUGACCUUUUGCCUGUCUCAACACUAGUUUUCAUUGAUAUUUGCUUGGUCUGCUGGGGAUAUGGCUUCCUUCAUUACGUUUUUUGGCAAUUCCACUGGGGAUGUUUUCCCUCUAUAUUGGCGAUUCCACUGGAGCUACGGCUUUCUUCAUCAGCAUUUGUUAUGCUGGGGCUUUUGUUGUAACCUUCUGCCUUUCGGGGGGUUACCGAUUUCAAAUCAUAAUUGCAAAGCUAUAUGACUGGAGUUAUAUGCGAUGUGGUUAUAUGAGAUGUAGAUUCAAAGUGACACGUAGUCACAUGAGAUGCAGAUGCAAGAUGGCGCAUAGUCAUAUGAGAUGGAGAUGCAAAGUGACACGUAGUCGCAUGAGAUGUAUAUGAGAUGUAGAUGCAAAGUGACACGUAGUUACAUGAGAUGUUGAUGCAAGACGAUGCGUAGUCAUAUGAGAUGUAGAUGCAAAGUGACACGUAGUCACAUGAAAUGUGGAUGCUAAGUGAUGCGUAGUCACAUGAGAUGUAAAUGCAAAAUGACACGUAGUCAUAUCAGAUGUAGAUGCAAAGUGACGCGUAGUCACAUGAGAUGUAGAUACAAGAUGACUCGUAGUCAUAUGAGAUGCAGAUGCAAAGCUGCUAUGACACGUAGUCACAUGAGAUGUAGUAUGCAAUGUUAUACGACACGUAGUCAUAUGAGAUGAAGUCAUAACUUGAAUUCGGUUCCCCCCUUAGUACGCCCUUCUGCCAUUAUCAGCGUUUCUGCUUCAAAUCAAAGAAAACCUUAUUAGUUCAAAACAUGGUGAGUGGUUGUGCCACUCCUGUCGGGGAUUCUCUUGGGAUUUGGUCCACGUUUUCCCAACUGUUGCCUUUCCAGCCUUUCCCAUACUUCUCAUGAUAUUCUAGACCCAUCCGGUGGAGUGAAUUGGUCACUUUGGUAAAUCAAACCUAACCAACUCCACACCAAUUUCAAACAAGGCCGUUUUAUUUAAGAGGGUCUUGCAACAACGCUCUUUCAAUUUGUUGCCUUGUCUUCCGCUUGCCUUGUUCGUAUUCUGCCUUGUACCAUUUGGAAACUGGUAGCAAGCCCUGACAAACCUUUCUAAAAAAUGAACUGCUGGGGGAAAGUUAAAAUAAAUGAUAGAAAAAGGGAGAAAAUCUUUCUGAACGAACGCUGGGAAAAAGAAAAGAAAAGAAAAGACUUAUUUGGGUGGUGUACUGGCCCUGAUGAUCAUGUCAUAUAUUCUGGAAUAAUCGAUCCAGUCUAUUGGUAUUAAUCAAUUUCUGAUGGCUUCCUUUACUGGGGAAAAACAGGUGCCCAACGUUUGCCCAAAUGCAGAUCCUUUCCGCCAAUAUUAUCUUGUCGCCUCAUAGUGCCCUUCGAGGGGUUUUCACUAAUAAGACUCUCUCAUUUCUCUCGGCUCUCGUCGCCUUAUGGUGCUUGUGAAGAUUUUCACCGAUAAGACGCUCUCAUUUUAUUUUCUCAGCUGGGAAUGGGGGUGCUACCAAUAAGAUUCUCUCUACUGUGGAAUUCUUUGGAUAUCAACUCUACCGAGGAUUCCUUUGGCUAGCAAUCGUGCUAGGGAUUCCUGCUAGCAAUUGUGCUGGGGGUUCCUGCUAGCAGUUCCCUCAGCUCAUGAUCUUUCCUCGUCCAGGGAUCAGUGUUUUAUUCCUGGCUUCCACUUGCCUGACUCAGUAUCUUUCGGAUAUCGAUCGGGAGGUCUUUUUUGGUUAUAACAUGUGGGUUUUGUGGGCUUGGAAGAAAAAGGGGUAUCAAAAAUUCAAAGUGACUUCGAUGGGUGAGAGACUACAACCCUUGGAAUCAAAAUUUUUCUAACAACUUAACUUCUGCUUGGGGAUUUUUGAUUUUUCACGACAUUUCGUCACACUAUGACCGAGCCGUGAGGCGCCUAUGUAUCCUUUUUUGAGGAAUCAGGUCAAACAUAGUUCCCACAUAUUUGUUUUCUUUUUUUUCUUUUUUUCAAUUUUUUAUUUUUAUUUAUUUUUAUUUUUUAUUAUUAUUUUUUUAACGAUUCCAAGAGAGGGCUAUGAAAGAACAAAUACGGCUCAAAGGGGGAAACAAAGGUUGACAAUGUUUAGGUAGAAGAAAAAUUGCCUCCGUCAUUUCGUUAUCCGAUGAACACCAAGUACAAUAAAACAAAAUAAUGAUAAAUACAAUCAAGGAAUUUACACAUAGUAUCUCUUGACUGCGUGAGAAUUGAUAGCCAUGUCAAUGCAUCUUCCUUCAACAUCCGUCAAGCAAAUGGUCCUUGCUAGUUUGGGGCGAACUUUGCCCUUUGCCUCGACCUGAUGCGGGAGAAUCCAUUUCAAUACCCGCUGCCUUACUUCCAAUUUCCUGAUGUGGGAGAAUCCGUUUGAAUAUGGAUGCUGAUUUUUGUUUCCCUCACAUUGUCGGCAUUCCUCUAAUUGCCAGCUUCAGUGUCAUCCAAGUUGGGCUUGGGUUUUUCUUCGUAUUGGCUUAGUUCCCCGUUUACCUCUUUAAAGACUCCAUCCUCAUCAUAUCCCGAUUCACUAUCACAUUCGAUCUCUUGUAUAAUUAACUCGGAAUUGGAUUGAUCAUUUAGACUGGGCCGAAGAUCCGUCAUGCAUGCCAUGUCAUCAGGUCCAGUGAAAUAGAACCGUUCAAAAAUCAAAAGAAGAAGAAACAACAUUAAACAAAACAAGCAUAGAAAACUUUUAUUUUAAUAAAACAAGGGAUACCAGGGUUCACACUUUUGCUAAAAAACAAAAUUUGGAUUACACCCUGGAAUAAUCCAGAAAACGAGAAAGAUAAAUCAAGGCCUACUACUAAGACUCCCUCCGGGUAGGGAAAGGAGUUGUUGUCUGGUUCUUAAGGUUGUCCCUAGGCCCGCAAACUGCAUAUCAGCCCUGCUGGAACCCUCUCCAGCUUCUAAUACAUUGACGUCGGCGAUCAUCUUUGGCUCCCCCCUUUGUGCACCAGCUCGAUCAUAUGGGUUUCAUGAUGUGCGGGCAAUCGGUUCUGGUUAACGUUUGGUGCCUCCGGCGCCUAAACCUUAGUUUUCUUGGCGUCGAUAAGAUCUUGUAUCGCCUGCUUCAGCUUUCAACAUUUUUCAGUAUCAUGCCCAAGCAUUCCUGAAUAGUAUUCGCAUCUUAGCGAUUGGUCCACAUUUAGGGGUGGGGGAUUUGGAAACCUAUUCUCUAUAGGACUCAACAAACCCAACUGCUUUAACUUGUCAAAUAAAGCGGUAUAGGUGUCUCCCAACUCGGUAUAGGUUCUUUUGUUUUGUGUUCUUUCAUUUCUGUAUGUCGAAUUUUCCCGGAAACCUGCCCCUGGAGGGUUCCUGUUGGCUCUGGGUGGUGGAUAGGUGUUUUGUGGAGGCGGGUAUACGUUUUGUGGAGGUGUAUAUGUGUUUUGGGGAACCGACGUGCGCCGUUGUGGAUGAGCCGGGGUUGAUUGUAGGUUUGGGCUCGGUAUACGGCGAAGUGUGGUUCUUGUGGUGGAUAGUGGUAUUGUGGUGGGCUAUAUGGGGAAUGUGGAUAAUUUUGUUAGUGGGGACUAGGUUGGUCGUAGUAGUGCUGGCCGGAUCUAGACCAAUCGCUAGCUUUGACCGUGGCCACUUCUUCUCUCCUUUCUUCCCAAGCACACCUCCCGUGCCGCUUUGAAUAGCCUGAGGCAUUGCCCUAAGCGUUGCGUAGUUCAGGAUUUUAUCAGACUUAAGUCCCUCCUCUAUCAUAACCCCUAUCUUUACUACUUCAUUGAAGGAUUUUCCAACCGUCGUCACCAGGUGAUCAAAGUAAGUUGGAUCCAGUGUUUGCAGGAAGUAGUCCACCAUUUCCCACUCUCCCAUGGGAGGAUCAACCCUGGCUUCCUGUUCUCUCCAGAGGAACCCGAAUUCACGGAAGCUUUCUCUAGGAUUAUUCCCAGUCCUUAGUAAUGUGAGACGGUCAGGGACUAUCUCGAGAUUGUAUUGGAAGUGACAUGCGAAAGCCUGUGCUAGAUCAUCCUAGUUGUACCACCUGUUGGGAUCCUGUCUGGUAUACCAUUCCUGUGCCGAUCCACUUAAGCUUUGGCCAAAGUAAGCUAUCAGUAGCUCAUCUUUGCUGCCCGCUCCCCUCAUUUUGCAACAGAAUCCCUGUAAAUGUGCCAUAGGGUCGCCAUGCCCUUUAUAUAGAUCGAACUUGGGCAUCUUGAACCCUAACGACAACUGGACGUUAGGAAAAGGGCAUAAAUACUUGUAGGCUACACUGACUUGGUUGACUAAUCCAUGCAUGUUCCUGAAGGUUUGCUCCAGGCUUCUAACUUUCCUCAUUACCUCGUCCUGUUCUGGAUUCCUGGCUGGCUUUUCAUUCUCCGCUGGGAUCUCAAAUUUGGGAUUUUGGGUAUGUGUUUUAAAUGCGGGUUCUGGGGGAUAAUAUUGUGCCUCGUGAGCUUGAAACAAUGGCUAACUAAUAGAUCUUUGCUGUGUGGCUGGUGGGGGUCCCAUGAAAACGGACACAUUUGGAGGUGGCUGUUUCAGGUUGGGUGGUGGAGCUUGGGAGUGAUAGAGGUUUCUUCCCUGGAAGUAGUGUGACUCGGAAAGCCUGUUGACGGGCCAGGGUGAGGGCAUUCUGGCGUGUGCCCAGGUGGAGGAGUACGACUAAUGGACGAUUCAGGCCCCUUUUGCACAUUAGCCAAGGCCAACUUCAUUGCAUUCAUCUCCAACCCCAUUUUCUCUAUCUUUUCCAAGGCUUCUUUUUAGCAACUGUACCUCGGGCCUCUCUUCCUCAACAUUGUUCUCAGAAUUGGUCAUGCUUUUGGGUAUAAGCCCUUUAGAUCUUGUCUGAUAAUGGUAUGGUACCAGUACGCUCUAACAAAAUGACUGAUAGAAUUUGGAAAGAUAACAAACUUGUCAGCGUCACAGUUUUAACAGAUAUUGCACGUUGGGGAUGCAAUGCCCUUAGGCAGUUAACCAUUUCUAAUAUGAUUUCGCUCCAACUGUAUGCGUCAUCCGGCUUAUUUAUGAUUCCCUCUUUUUCUUUUUUUCCUUUUUUUAAUAAAAGACCCGGCAUUGCAAACACGGCCUUUCAGCACAUCGGGAACGAAGAUUUUAAGUCUGCGUUAGCUAACCGACCAAAAUCCCAAAAUAAUGAUUAAAGGUGGCUGUUAAUGCAAAGUCAGCCUUCCGACGUCCCUUUCGGGAACAUUCGUCUAUUUACGGCAAAAACAACAUCACUGACUAAUUUCGGACUCUUUUUUAUCAAAGAUAGAAAACCAGAUAUUUGCAAACACGGCCUUUCGGCGUCUCGGGGACGAAGAUUCUAAGGCUGUGUGGGUCAAUUGACCAAAAAUCUAAAAAAUGACCAAAGGUGGCCAUUUAUGCAAAGUCAGCCUUCCGGCGUCCCUUUCGGGAACAUUCGGCUAUUUUUUAUGUAAACAACAUCACAUCACUUCCUUAUGACGAAAAUUAAAAUUUUGAUAUUUUUUUUCUUUGUGUGGCUAUUUUAGCAAAAUGGGGGGUUGGACCCGAUGAGGGUUGCCUACAUAUCUCACAUCCGGUGUGAAUCAAACCAGCGUAGUUCGGGCAAUUACAUGAACUAUUUUAAAAACAACUCUUUUUUUUCAUUUUCAUUUUAUGGUAUUUCAAAAGCAAAUACUAUUUUUUUAAAAAUAAGACUCUUUUUCAUUUUUAUUUUUGGCAUUUCAUAAGCAAAUAACAAAACUACUUUCUAAAGCACGACUCUUUUUCAUUUUCAUUUUUCAUGGCAAAACAAACUAUUUUCCUUUUUUUUGAAAACAGGACAAAAUAAUGACUCUUUUUUCAUUUUUAACAAAACUAAAACAGCCUAUUUUUCCCAAACUAAAAACAAAUACACUUUUUUCUUUUUCAACAAUUAAUAAAUCAACCUAUUUUUCAAGCUAAAAAUAAAGAAUCUUUUUCUUUUUCAAUAAAACAACCUAUUUUCUUUUCCGUUGGCAAAUACACUAUUCUGAAAACAAGAAGACCUAAAAUAAAGACUCUUUCAUUUUCAUUUUUCUGGGCAAAACAGACUAUUUUUCCUUUUCUAUUUUUGAAAACAAGAGAGAAUAACGACUUUUUUUCUAUUUUUCCUUUGCUUUUUGGUAAAACUAAUAAAACAUUUUUUUUCAUUUUCUCAAAAUUUCGACAAAGUUUCGACGACAUUUGGAAAUUGAUUUUCUAAAAAAAAAUUAAUUAACACUCUACACUGCUAAUUUUUCUCUUUUUUUCUUCAAAUUUUCCGUGCAUUCAAAGCCGGUCAGCAUGCAUGUUUGAAGCAAAUAAAUGCAUAAAGCAAACAGGAUACAACAUGAUGGUCUUUUUACUUCAGGUUGCUUGUCCUAGACGGACCCAACCCAUGUGUUGAGUCCCCUAAGUCGAAUGCACAUGAUACAAAUAAACGUUCCUACUAGGGAUCCGACAUGAAGUUUUGUUAUACUAGGUUCAAACCUGAGUUUUUUGUUCUAGACCUGGCUUACCCGAGCGGACAACUCGAGCCGAGAAUGGGAAUGCGUGCCGGUAACCAAAAGAUCCUCCGGUUUAGCAAUUCCUCCAAAUCCUCGUUCUAAAUUGGGAUAAUGACACUAACAGAAAGAAGUCACGACCAGCGUGCACUCCUCGGGAGGGAGAAGAGAAGCGUUUCGGCACAGUUUAUAUAUAGUCCACAUAAUAUCAAAGCGGUAAAGAAUAAUCAUUUUGCACAUUAAGCACAUAUCACAUGGAAAUAUCAGAUAAUAAAAUAAAGCCAAAAAUACAACAAUUUCUGAGAUCGAAUUCUAACCCUGAACCAGUGGUUCUGGGCAUAUUCCCCAGCAGAGUCGCUAGAGAUGUUGCACCUCCUUUUUCCGCGCCCGCGGGACGCAAGGAGUUUUUCUGAAUUCUAACCCUGACCUAGUGGUACUGGGUCUUAUCCCCAGCAGAGUCGCUAGAGCUGUCGCACCUUCUUUUUCUACACCGCGAGGGUGCAAGGGAGUUUUUCCAAUUAAAGGAUAAUCGAAACGGGAUUAUUUAUUGAAGAUUCAGAGUCACCACUUGGAAAAUUUAUGGCGUCCCAAGUCACCGGUUAAAUCUCAAAUCUAGGAAAACAAUGACUCUAUUUAACAGUCUGCGCACUAGAAAUCCGGAUAAGGAAUUAUGUUAACCCGGGAGAAGGUGUUAGGCAUUCCCGAGUUCCGUGGUUCUAGAACAGUCGCUCAACUGUCAUAUUCGGCUUAAUUAUCUGAUUCUUAUUUAUCUGAUUUUUACAAUUAUAUACUUAGUGCAAGUCAUGAUUCUUUUAACCGCUUUUUUUUAAUUAUUAUUAUUGUUAUUAUUUACAGAGAAUUGCAACAUUGUGAAAAUAUAUCUCGAACCACGUCACAGUCAGUGUACCCGUGGUCGUUGACGCAUUUCGACUCUUUCGAGAUUUGGAUUUGGGUCGCAUAAAUGCACACCCGAGUUUAGGAAGGUAAGAUUAAUUAAGGCGCGUCCUAAAGAGAGUCUAGCAAGUUCUAAUCUUUUGGGAGGAGGCCACGGAAUUUGUUAAAUGGCCUAAUCCGAAGUCUAUCCGCUUAUUGAUCCUUUUAAUUGAGCGCCUCACAGUUUCAUAAUUUGGUUUUGGCGAGGCUCUCCCAUUUCAUUUUUAAUGGAUAUCCUAAAGCGACUACUAUUUUCUAUUUAUUUGCGUCUCUAAAGCAAAACGAAAAUCCUAUAUUAUUUACAAGUUAGUAUUAUUAGCCUAAGUUAUAAGCAUGGUAUUAAUUCCAAAAAAUGAGUACGGAGAAGGAAGGCAGUGAUAACAGCUUGGGUCCAGGCCCAACGUGCAUAGUUCAAAACUUGGGCCUGGGCCAUCUCAUUUUUAUCCUUGAGGCCUAGUGAUAAUAUCUACAUGUGUUUGAUACUAACAAAUGAAGGCAUGAACGAAAAGGUUUUCUUAAAUAGACAAGUUUUUGCCAAUUGGCUAUGCUAUUUAUCCGUUGAUCACCUACAAUAUGUUCAUUCUUCUAAAUAACAUAGGCUGGAAAUGACGAGAACAUGAACUACUGUAUCACUAUCUUUUUUAAACACUAGCAUACGAGGAAAGAGUUUAACAUUUAGACUAUUACGGAUUUUUAUUCAGCUUUACAUGACAAUUAAUGACCUGAACCUAGUGAACUAAUAACUAACAUAUAUAUACAACAUCAGAAGGUACGAGUACAACUACAAGACUUCAGGCUUUAAGGCAUCAUUUUUUAUUCAUGCUUCAAACUUUCAACUACAUUGUCUAUUUUUUAUUCAUGCUUCAAACUUUCAGCUACAUUGUGUACCAGUGUAGCUUGUGUACCUGGUAAUUUUGAAGCAAAGGAAGGAAGGAAGGAUCUGUAGUGAACAGGCAGUACAAACACAACACAACAACAGGUUCAACAGCAGAGAUUUCCAGCAAUAAUAGCAAUAAACCAGUGGCAAUAGAAGACCCAGGAAGGAUUUGAAAUCAAACAGGACACUUAAAGAAACCAACAACAAUUCCAGAAAGUCCAAACAUCAACACCAAGUGUAAGACAAUAAUACCAGAAAGCCAAUAGAGGUGAACCGGUGCUCAAACCCGAAAGAGAUGGUCUGGUAGCAGAUGGAGAAUCAGUAACACACUCAAGAAUAACCACAAGUAACUUCAAGGAGCUAAAUAGCAAUACCAAAUGAACUCUAGUAAUACUAUAUGGACUCAAAAUCAAAACAAGAGGACCAGUUACAAGAGAAGCAAUCCUUCUGAUUUUGAACACUCCAAGAAAAGCGAGCCAGAUUAAGUUUUAAAUAAAGAUCAGCCUUAAACUCUCUCCGGAUUCAAAGAAGCCCUCAGAAAAAUGCUCUCCGACUGACCCCUUUCUUUCAAAGAAAAUCCCCCUUUUAUUCCAUUCUCUCCUCUCAAUCACAUUUUCCUUUUCCGGAUAUUAGGCCUUACUGGAUAGGUAAUCAUACCUGAAUUGGUCCAUUUAAAACAAAAGUAGUCUUUCACUAAUAGUUGUCUAUUAAUUUUCCAAUGUCACUUAGAAAUGUCCCUCUUUUGUUUCUUAGUGCCCUACUUAUUACUUAGUGGCCCCAUAAUCCCAUUAGUUCAAAUUAAAGUUGUUAAGGCCCUACAGGAUAGACCAAAUAGUCAAACUAUAUUUCCUUAUUUUCUACUCCUAAAAC